AGUCGUAACAAGGUUUCCGUAGGUGAACCUGCGGAAGGAUCAUUACCGAGUGCGGGCCCCUCGGGGCCCAACCUCCCACCCGUGUUGCCCGAACCUAUGUUGCCUCGGCGGGCCCCGCGCCCGCCGACGGCCCCCCUGAACGCUGUCUGAAGUUGCAGUCUGAGACCUAUAACGAAAUUAGUUAAAACUUUCAACAACGGAUCUCUUGGUUCCGGCAUCGAUGAAGAACGCAGCGAAAUGCGAUAACUAAUGUGAAUUGCAGAAUUCAGUGAAUCAUCGAGUCUUUGAACGCACAUUGCGCCCUCUGGUAUUCCGGAGGGCAUGCCUGUCCGAGCGUCAUUGCUGCCCUCAAGCCCGGCUUGUGUGUUGGGCCCCGUCCCCCCCGCCGGGGGGACGGGCCCGAAAGGCAGCGGCGGCACCGCGUCCGGUCCUCGAGCGUAUGGGGCUUCGUCACCCGCUCUAGUAGGCCCGGCCGGCGCCAGCCGACCCCCAACCUUUAAUUAUCUCAGGUUGACCUCGGAUCAGGUAGGGAUACCCGCUGAACUUAAGCAUAUCAAUAAGCGGAGGAA
RNAcentral lists this unclassified non-coding RNA (569 nucleotides) under Penicillium citrinum. Its description in RNAcentral is "sequence contains 18S rRNA gene, ITS1, 5.8S rRNA gene, ITS2, 28S rRNA gene". The stretch from base 186 to 339 matches the Rfam family "5.8S ribosomal RNA". Lineage: Eukaryota; Fungi; Ascomycota; Eurotiomycetes; Eurotiales; Aspergillaceae. The record is from RNAcentral.